CCAGCAGCUGCGGUAAUUCCAGCUCCAAUAGCGUAUAUUAAAGUUGUUGCAGUUAAAAAGCUCGUAGUCUGAGUCUUGGUUGGUGUUGAGCGUCCGUGGCUUUUGUCACGUGCAUGCGAUACGCUGGCCAUGUACUUCGGAGGAACAUGGGUGCUUUUCAUUAAGUGCUCAUGGGAUUCCGAUAGUUUACUUUGAAAAAAUUAGAGUGUUCAAAGCAGGCCAACGCUUGAAUACAUUAGCAUGGAAUAAUGGAAUAGGACUUUGGUGCUAUUUCGUUGGUUUAUGGGACCGAAGUAAUGAUUAAUAGGGACAGUUGGGGCCGUUUAUAUUCCGUUGUCAGAGGUGAAAUUCUUGGAUUUACGGAAGAUAAACUUCUGCGAAAGCAUUCGGCAAGGAUGUUUCCA
RNAcentral lists this ribosomal RNA (404 nucleotides) under uncultured eukaryote. RNAcentral describes it as "SSU rRNA". It matches the Rfam family "Eukaryotic small subunit ribosomal RNA", at positions 567 to 972 of the family's 1831-position model. The record is from RNAcentral.